GGGCAUGUGGUCUAAUUGGUAAGACGCCCCAUCUCGGUUUCACUCGCCACUACUUUCGGGUCCGCCCGACGGGGAGACGCGAGUUUGAAUCCUGCCGUGUCCA
Setomelanomma holmii is the source of this 103-nucleotide non-coding RNA. The record is from the annotation of a GenBank genome assembly. Lineage: Eukaryota; Fungi; Ascomycota; Dothideomycetes; Pleosporales; Phaeosphaeriaceae.